Portunus trituberculatus (swimming crab) is the source of this 956-nucleotide long non-coding RNA. RefSeq lists it as uncharacterized. The record is from RefSeq and is a predicted model, not a curated record. The transcript is spliced from 4 exons. NCBI's taxonomy places the organism in Eukaryota, Metazoa, Arthropoda, Malacostraca, Decapoda, Portunidae.
GUACGUAGGUAGAUAGUCUCCUAAAGAGUACCUCGCUUGAUGAAGACCUUUGGGGGGGAUGGAGUGGAGAUGGCGCGUGCGCAGGUCUCCGUGGGUAUGCCGGCCCAAUAGCUCCCGCCGCUUCGCUGUGUGAAGAGCGGAGGACCUGCCUGCCAGUGUUCCUGUGGCUGAGUUUGCUGUCCCGGCCGCCACCUCUGCGCCUUCCCUGGCCAGCGCUGCGAGACCCCAGUGACUGCCGUGAUCAUCGUGUUGACGUGAACUGGAGAGCUGUCUUCGCUUCGAUGCAUCACCUUCAGUUCCAUCCUUGUUUUACUGGUUAAGGAUGGAAAAUGGUGCGUCCCGAGGUGACGAGACGCCCAAGUAAAGAACUCUACUCCAUCUCGCUUGGCUCGCUCGGCUAAGUCCCCUUCGUGCUUCGUUCAGCAGCACGUUCCGCCGCCAAAGCUAAGUAGAAGCAUCAGUCACAUACCUACUCACCACACACCCACCAACACGUACUCUCCUCCCACCCACCCACACGAUAAUACAGUACACGCACAACGAAACACGAAAUGUACUGCACGAUUAAUUAAGUCCGUCACGUUUACUGAAAACUUUACGCGUACACACGUUCUCCUAUGCCAAAGGGUCCCACACAGCAACACUACCGGUACUCUUCACUAGUAGUAACAUUCUUUUCCGGUAAGUAGACUUGACAUACGUAAUUUAUUGGUGAGGAUUAUUUUUCCUAAUUAUCCUUUAUUUUCAGAAGCAUCUUUAAUGUAGAGGAAGGACGUGAGUAGCGUUCAUUACCUCUGUUCUCGGGAGUGAAGGCGAGAGAGAGAGAGGCAAGAUGACUACUCUACCGUUACGACACUGAAGAGAGAAGAUACUACUACUUCUCCGACGGAUUUACAGGAGGAGAAGGAACACUGAAGAUGCUUCUUCCGAUCUGGUGUGGAGACACUAUCUCAGCA